CUCAAAAUGAUAUUCUAUUUGGUUAAGGAAUCCCCUGCAUUCUUGAAUAUUACCAUCAAAAUGCAGGGGAGGAGAUAGGGAGAUAGUAGGUGCCUUCUGUACUAUAGGUGAGGUACAUAAGAUGGAGGUGAGGCCGCAGGUUGCAGAUGUGCUGUUCGAGUAAGAAACAUACUGAAGGACUGGGCAAAUUGAUGCAUGCGGUGAUCAUUUUCC
Molecule: non-coding RNA, 213 nt
Organism: Pelobates cultripes (western spadefoot toad)
Lineage: Eukaryota; Metazoa; Chordata; Amphibia; Anura; Pelobatidae
Source: the annotation of a GenBank genome assembly